GAACUGCAAUGAAUAGCGCGUUGGACUUCUUAUCCAAUUAUCGUGGGUUCGAAUCCCACCUUAGAUG
Molecule: non-coding RNA, 67 nt
Organism: Trichonephila clavata
Lineage: Eukaryota; Metazoa; Arthropoda; Arachnida; Araneae; Nephilidae
Source: the annotation of a GenBank genome assembly